AGGAAGCAUUUAUUAGAUAAAAAGCCAAUGCAUGCUUUUACAGUAUGAAAAUUGGUGAUUUAUAAUAACUUAGCAAAUCGUAAAGUGAAAACAGACGAUAAAUCAUUCAAGUUUCUGACCUAUCAGCUUUCGACGGUAUGGUAUUGGCUUACCGUGGCAGUGACGGUUAACGGGGGAUUAGGGUUCGAUUCCGGAGAGGGAGCCUGAGAAACGGCUACCACAUCUAAGGAAGGCAGCAGGCGCGCAAAUUACCCAAUUCUAACAGUUUGAGAGAGGUAGUAACAAGAAAUAACAAUACAAGGCAGUUAAAAUGCUUUGUAAUUGGAAUGAUAGAAAUUUAAACCCUUUUUAAAGUAUCAAUUGGAGGGCAAGUCUGGUGCCAGCAGCCGCGGUAAUUCCAGCUCCAAUAGCGUAUAUUAAAAUUGUUGCAGUUAAAAAGCUCGUAGUUGAAGUUCUGCUAAAAGUAACCGGUCUGCUUUUAAUAAAAGUGGUAUCUUGGUAUGUAUUUAGCAAUGAUGUCCUUUGAAGUGUUUUUUACUUUAUUGUAAUAAAGCAUAUUCAGGACUUUUACUUUGAGAAAAUUAGAGUGUUUCUAGCAGGCCGACGCUUUGAAUACUGCAGCAUGGAAUAAUAAGA
RNAcentral lists this ribosomal RNA (636 nucleotides) under Hepatozoon canis. RNAcentral's name for it is "bacterial SSU rRNA". It matches the Rfam family "Eukaryotic small subunit ribosomal RNA", at positions 198 to 822 of the family's 1831-position model. The record is from RNAcentral. Lineage: Eukaryota; Apicomplexa; Hepatozoidae.